GGGCUCAUAGCUCAGUUGGUUAGAGCUGCGGACUCAUAAUCCGUCGGUCCCUGGUUCAAGUCCAGGUGAGCCCA
RNAcentral lists this transfer RNA (74 nucleotides) under Spirochaetes bacterium GWB1_59_5. Its description in RNAcentral is "tRNA-Met". It matches the Rfam family "tRNA". Rfam says of the family: Transfer RNA (tRNA) molecules are approximately 80 nucleotides in length. Their secondary structure includes four short double-helical elements and three loops (D, anti-codon, and T loops). Lineage: Bacteria; Pseudomonadati; Spirochaetota. The record is from RNAcentral.